This 72-nucleotide transfer RNA is filed under the name Bos taurus (domestic cattle). It matches the Rfam family "tRNA". Rfam says of the family: Transfer RNA (tRNA) molecules are approximately 80 nucleotides in length. Lineage: Eukaryota; Metazoa; Chordata; Mammalia; Artiodactyla; Bovidae. The record is from Rfam by way of RNAcentral. RNAcentral also lists the same sequence under 2 other names.
UCCCAGGUAUCUCAGACAGUAAAGAGUCUGCCUGCAAUGCCAGAGACCCAGGUUCGAUCCCUGGAUUGGGAA